AUAUCUUCUACUCAUUAUUAGUUCCUGCCUGCAGGAAACUAUAGCGGAGGCUUCAGCAGUAAACGGUGAUUAAUCUUUCCCUUCUCAGCCAAUGAACUUGUGAGACAGUUUUGUAUAAUUUUAUUUUCAACUAUGUAGCAUCAAGAAAGUUGCUCAAUUUUUAGUAGAAAUUUUGGUGCCUGAUAUUUUGGCAAUCGCUGAUUUGCAUUGCACACGGUUGGUAGAGGCUUUCAGAGUGGUUCACAGUUUCCUAUAAGAGAGAACGCACAAUUAACAAAGUGAAACAGGAAUCCUCGGGUAUAGCUUCUGAAAAUUGCAGAUUGUCAUUGGAAGAUGCGUGGCCUGCAUGCAAAACAACACGCCCCUUAUCUAUGUUUCAAAGAAAGAUGUGUGGCAUGCAUGCAAAACAACACACACCUCUUAUCUAUGUUUCCACAUUUUCCAUUAUAUCUUACAUCUAUUAAAAUUCCUUUGAGACACAUUGAUUGAAUUUCCUUCACGUUUUUUUAGCAGCAGGAGUGCCUGUGGAUAUGGAGAUUUAUAUAGGCAAAUCUAUAGAAUCAAUACAGCGGCUCUUAGCAGUGAUCUAUUUUCAAGCGGGCAGUCCUGUAGUGCCUAUUUUGUACUAAAAUGUGUAGAUGAUAUAGUUUAUUACCACCAUGGAACAUCAAUUACAGUGACUAACUUCUGUCCACCCAGGAGAUGCAGGAGGGUGGUGUAAUCCGCCGUUAAAGAACUUCAUAUUGCAUGUUUCUUCCUUUAAAAAGAUAGUUGUGUGGAAGAUAGGGAACAUGCAUGUCCAAUACAGAAGGUAACCGAUGGAAAACUAUCAAAUGUUUUAGGUUCUUAUUUCUGAAUGCGUCCACAAGAGGUUGCGUCAUGGAUGGCAAUGAUAGCAGGAUAUGAUAUUCAUGUCCGUAACAAGGAAGCCCUUAAAGUAUUUGAUCAUGUUGGCCAUGAUGGUUGCUCAACAUCUUGUAACAAUCAUGUGAUUCAACAGGAUGGCAGAGGAAGUAACAAACAGUGACACAUGGGGCCCAGAAAUCCAUACAAUGGCUACAAUUUCUCAAUCUGCAUUCGAUGUAGACAACUAUUGUAAAAUUGUUGAUAGUUUACAUGAGAGAUCCCACAGCUGCUAUAAGAAGUGCUUCAGAUAUUCUGCUACAAUGGAGCUUGCUUCAAGACAAUUGUAAAUGGUAACCUGAUUUCCAAAUUUGACCGUGCUGUGAUAAAUGUCCAUGUCUGUUGCACAGCUCCAGUUUGCAACACGCUGAAACGAGAUGGGUAAUACAACUUGUCCAUUGCUUGGGAAUUUUCUAGCUUGCUGGUGAAACACAUGUGAAAAUAUUGUGUAAACUAGGCUGAAAUGUAUGUAGUGAAGUCUACAGAUAUGUUUAUAGGGUAGGGAGCUCAGCUGAAAGAAUGUUUUAAAGGAUUGUUUCUAGGAUAUUUUAGAUUACAAUCAGAACUACCCAGCUGAUUCUAAAAAUAAUCUAAUUACAUCCACAAUUUAAACACCUACAAUAUACAGCUGAUUCCAAAAAUAAUUGUGCAAAACAAAACUAAGCUGCAAUGCAACUCUCAUUAAUUUGGGAUCUCUUCUGCAAACUUGAUUUCAAAUGAGUCACUAUGCAUUGAAAGCUAUUUGGAAGUGA
Long non-coding RNA from Cryptomeria japonica (Japanese cedar), 1655 nucleotides. RefSeq lists it as uncharacterized. Lineage: Eukaryota; Viridiplantae; Streptophyta; Pinopsida; Cupressales; Cupressaceae. The record is from RefSeq and is a predicted model, not a curated record. The transcript is spliced from 5 exons.